RNAcentral lists this ribosomal RNA (1353 nucleotides) under bacterium 14W333. RNAcentral describes it as "bacterial SSU rRNA". It matches the Rfam family "Bacterial small subunit ribosomal RNA", at positions 81 to 1441 of the family's 1533-position model. The record is from RNAcentral.
UCGGGAUCUUGAGAGCGGCGUACGGGUGCGGAACACGUGUGCAACCUGCCUUUAUCUGGGGGAUAGCCUUUCGAAAGGAAGAUUAAUACCCCAUAAUAUACUGAAUGGCAUCAUUCGGUAUUGAAAACUCCGGUGGAUAGAGAUGGGCACGCGCAAGAUUAGAUAGUUGGUGAGGUAACGGCUCACCAAGUCUACGAUCUUUAGGGGGCCUGAGAGGGUGAUCCCCCACACUGGUACUGAGACACGGACCAGACUCCUACGGGAGGCAGCAGUGAGGAAUAUUGGACAAUGGGUGAGAGCCUGAUCCAGCCAUCCCGCGUGAAGGACGACGGCCCUAUGGGUUGUAAACUUCUUUUGUAUAGGGAUAAACCUACCCUCGUGAGGGUAGCUGAAGGUACUAUACGAAUAAGCACCGGCUAACUCCGUGCCAGCAGCCGCGGUAAUACGGAGGGUGCAAGCGUUAUCCGGAUUUAUUGGGUUUAAAGGGUCCGUAGGCGGAUCUGUAAGUCAGUGGUGAAAUCUCACAGCUUAACUGUGAAACUGCCAUUGAUACUGCAGGUCUUGAGUGUUGUUGAAGUAGCUGGAAUAAGUAGUGUAGCGGUGAAAUGCAUAGAUAUUACUUAGAACACCAAUUGCGAAGGCAGGUUACUAAGCAACAACUGACGCUGAUGGACGAAAGCGUGGGGAGCGAACAGGAUUAGAUACCCUGGUAGUCCACGCCGUAAACGAUGCUAACUCGUUUUUGGGAUGUAAGUUUCAGAGACUAAGCGAAAGUGAUAAGUUAGCCACCUGGGGAGUACGACGCAAGUUUGAACUCAAAGGAUUGACGGGGGCCCGCACAAGCGGUGGAUUAUGUGGUUUAAUUCGAUGAUACGCGAGGAACCUUACCAAGGCUUAAAUGGGAAAUGACAGGUUUAGAAAUAGACUUUUCUUCGGACAUUUUUCAAUGGUGUCUCAUAGGGGGUUUUUUGACUCGUGCCGUGAGGUGUUAGGUUAAGUCCUGCAACGAGCGCAACCCCUGUCACUAGUUGCCAUCAUUAAGUUGGGGACUCUAGUGAGACUGCCUACGCAAGUAGAGAGGAAGGUGGGGAUGACGUCAAAUCAUCACGGCCCUUACGCCUUGGGCCACACACGUAAUACAAUGGCCGGUACAGAGGGCAGCUACACUGCGAAGUGAUGCAAAUCUCGAAAGCCGGUCUCAGUUCGGAUUGGAGUCUGCAACUCGACUCUAUGAAGCUGGAAUCGCUAGUAAUCGCGCAUCAGCCAUGGCGCGGUGAAUACGUUCCCGGGCCUUGUACACACCGCCCGUCAAGCCAUGGAAGUCUGGGGUACCUGAAGUCGGUGACCGUAACA